RNAcentral lists this long non-coding RNA (336 nucleotides) under Salvia miltiorrhiza (redroot sage). RNAcentral describes it as "long non-coding RNA (SMIL_LNC013400)". Lineage: Eukaryota; Viridiplantae; Streptophyta; Magnoliopsida; Lamiales; Lamiaceae. The record is from RNAcentral.
GAAAUGCUAAAAAAAAUUAUAAUGUAUUGAAACUAAUUUGUAAUAUAUAGAAAAUAUAUAAUCUAUGGACAUGUUGUUUGUUAUUAUUAUUAUUAUGCUUGCCUUUUAAUAAAAAAUGUCUUAAAUAUACGGAAUUUCCAAAAAAAGUUUUGUGAUAUAUUGAAACUAUAUAAUCUAUGAAAAUAUUGUUCGUUAUUAUUAGUAUUAUGCUCGUAUUUUAAUAAAAAAAUACCUUAAAUAUACUGAAUGCCCAAAAAAAAUUUCUCGGGGGCUACCGCCCCCGAACCCCCGUACAGGUUCAGCCCCCCCCGAACUAAAUUCCUGGCUCCGUCCCUG